Long non-coding RNA from Xenopus tropicalis (tropical clawed frog), 617 nucleotides. RefSeq lists it as uncharacterized. The record is from RefSeq and is a predicted model, not a curated record. The transcript has 3 exons. Lineage: Eukaryota; Metazoa; Chordata; Amphibia; Anura; Pipidae.
UUCAAAACGUGCCUGACACUGGAAAAAAACAAACAAACUCUACAGCCGUUUGCUGACAGAUUGUGACAAACACUUUGCGACAGACUAUUCAACUCUAGCCAGAGCGGGUAGUCGAGUGAGAGAGAUGAGAGGGAACACCAGAUACUAAAGCACCCCUAAUUUCUACAAGCAAUUCCUGACUACUCUCGCAGGGGCUAUCCAGGCUGUUCUGUGAUCUGAGGUGGCAAAGCCCCAGUUGGGACUGCACCGAUGCCCCGCACCCUGCUUACCUGUCCUUCUAUGGAGGAUGUUCUUUCAACAUAUAGGAAGCCAUUGUAUGCAGCGAGUGACUGGCACGCAUUGCACACUCUCUAAUGGCAAAGAGACUAUGCAUCUCCUGGGCUUACAGACUUCUGCCAAUGGUUGUAAAUGUUCCAGUUCCAGUUCCAUAAUUGUGAAGCUGAACAUUGACAAGUGAGCCAUUACAUCACUAUAUGUGGGCACCCUUCUGCCUGGGACUAUUUAUUCUGGAUACAUGCGGAAAUCUGCAUUAUCUAAUUUAGCUCCCAUGAGCACUCCCUUCUUAUUUCUUUUUUUUCAUUCAUCAAACUCAAUAAAUGUAUAAUAGCUUUUCUAUA